Molecule: ribosomal RNA, 836 nt
Filed under: Perforatella incarnata
Lineage: Eukaryota; Metazoa; Mollusca; Gastropoda; Stylommatophora; Hygromiidae
Description: Monachoides incarnatus partial large subunit ribosomal RNA
Source: RNAcentral
AAUUAUUAUUAGAUUUUUAAAUAAUUAUUCACGAAAUAAAUUGAGCUAAAUUUUUGGUAUUUUUUGGAAAUUAUAACUAUAUGUUACAAAAUAUAUUAACUAAAUAGAUUUAGGGGUGAAAGGCCUAUCAAAUUUUAUGAUAUCUUGAAGUAUAUAAAAUAUAUCAAGUAUUUCUAAUUCAACUAUUGAAUGUUUAGGUUCAAUAGUAACAUUAUAUUUUUUAAAAAAUUGUUCAAUUUUUUUAAGUAAAAUUGAGUUAGAGCAUAAAAUAUACAUCAAAUUUUUAUUAUAUGAAUAUAAAUAUACUACGGUUAUUAAUAAAUAUAAUCAUAUAUAAUGUAAUUAUUAGUAAUAGUUUAUUAAACUAUAUAAAGGAAUUCGGCAAGAAAAUUUUUCACCUGUUUAUCAAAAACAUAGCUUAUUGAAUAUCAUAAUAAGUAACCCCUGCUCAAUGGAAAUCUAAAUAGCCGCAGUACCUUGACUGUGCAAAGGUAGCAUAAUCAAUUGGCUUAUAAUUGAAGUCUGGAAUGAAUGGGUAAUCUGGAAAAUAACUGUCUUUAUUUUGUAGUAUUUUGAAUUUACUUAUAAAGUGAAAAUACUUUAAUAUAAAUAUAAGACGAGAAGACCCUAGAAAUUUUUUGUUAAUAACUUUUGUUGGGGCGACAGGGUAACAUAUAAACUUACUUACAUUUAUAUAAAUCUUAUAAGGUGCGUAACUAAAUUACUCUAGGGAUAACAGCAUAAUAUAUAAAAGUUUAUGACCUCGAUGUUGGACUAGGUAAUUAAAUAUUUAAAAGAUAUCUUAAUUUGCUCUGUUCGAGCAGUACCACCUACAU